CCUACGGGAUGCACCAGUGGGGAAUUUUGGACAAUGGGCGAAAGCCUGAUCCAUCAAUGCCGCGUGCAGGAUGAAGGCCCUCGGGUUGUAAACUGCUUUUGUACGGAACGAAAAGCCUGGGGCUAAUAUCCUCGGGUCAUGACGGUACCGUAAGAAUAAGCACCGGCUAACUACGUGCCAGCAGCCGCGGUAAUACGUAGGGUGCAAGCGUUAAUCGGAAUUACUGGGCGUAAAGCGCGCGCAGGCGGUUUUGUAAGACAGUGGUGAAAUCCCCAGGCUCAACCUGGGAACUGCCAUUGUGACUGCAAGGCUAGAGUGCGGCAGAGGGGGAUGGAAUUCCGCGUGUAGCAGAAAAAUGCGUAGAUAUGCGGAGGAACACCGAUGGCGAAGGCAAUCCCCUGGGCCUGCACUGACGCUCAUGCACGAAAGCGUGGGGAGCAAACAGGAUUAGAUACCCCCGUAGUC
This 465-nucleotide ribosomal RNA is filed under the name uncultured bacterium. RNAcentral's name for it is "bacterial SSU rRNA". It matches the Rfam family "Bacterial small subunit ribosomal RNA", at positions 338 to 795 of the family's 1533-position model. The record is from RNAcentral.